Molecule: long non-coding RNA, 513 nt
Filed under: Rattus norvegicus (Norway rat)
Lineage: Eukaryota; Metazoa; Chordata; Mammalia; Rodentia; Muridae
Description: long non-coding RNA NONRATT012882
Source: RNAcentral
CCCCCGGCACAGCUGCUGUCCUCAAAUGUAUCCACUGGGCGUACCCCAGGGACUUCUGACCCCUUGGACCUCUACCAAAAUGCAUGGUUAAGCAAAGAGUGGAUUCCCUCUCUCUUAAACUGUGCACUUUUUAUAUGAGUGCCAGGGCUCGGUUGCUUCUGGAAUUACAAGGAAAUGCAGGGACAAAUGGAGCAGAGACUGAAGGAAGGUCAUCCAGAGGCUGCCCUACUUGGGAAUCCAUCUCACCUGCAGAGAGACGUCAAACUUAGACACUACUGCUGAUUCCAAGAAACGCUUGUUGAGGAGAGCCUGGUAUAGCUGUUCCCUGAGAGGCUCUGCCUGUACCUGACCAAUACAGAUGCAGACGCUCACAGCCAACUAUCAAACUGAUAACCCAGCUGUGAGGCUGGAAUGGGAGGGCAGGGAGCACCCUCAUAGAGGCAAAGGGGGGAAGGGAUGGGUGGUUUGUGAAAUGAAACCAGGAAAUGUAAAUAAAUAAAAUAACAACAAAAG